GAUGGGACGUAACUCAUUGGCAGAGUGAUCGCCUAGCAUGUGUGAGGACCUGGGUUCAACCCCCAGCCCCAUUA
RNAcentral lists this transfer RNA (74 nucleotides) under Marmota monax (woodchuck). RNAcentral's name for it is "tRNA.Ala". It matches the Rfam family "tRNA". From Rfam's summary of the family: Transfer RNA (tRNA) molecules are approximately 80 nucleotides in length. Lineage: Eukaryota; Metazoa; Chordata; Mammalia; Rodentia; Sciuridae. The record is from RNAcentral.